GAUGAACGCUGGCGGCGUGCCUAAUACAUGCAAGUCGAGCGAACAGACGAGGAGCUUGCUCCUCUGACGUUAGCGGCGGACGGGUGAGUAACACGUGGAUAACCUACCUAUAAGACUGGGAUAACUUCGGGAAACCGGAGCUAAUACCGGAUAAUAUAUUGAACCGCAUGGUUCAAUAGUGAAAGACGGUUUUGCUGUCACUUAUAGAUGGAUCCGCGCCUCAUUAGCUAGUUGGUAAGGUAACGGCUUACCAAGGCGACGAUGAGUAGCCGACCUGAGGGGGUGUUCGGCCACACUGGAACUGGGACACGGUCCAGACUCCUACGGGAGGCAGCAGUAGGGAAUCUUCCGCAAUGGGCGAAAGCCUGACGGAGCAACGCCGCGUGAGUGAUGAAGGUCUUCGGAUCGUAAAACUCUGUGAUUAGGGAAGAACAAAUGUGUAAGUAACUAUGCACGUCUUGACGGUACCUAAUCAGAAAGCCACGGCUAACUACGUG
Molecule: ribosomal RNA, 497 nt
Filed under: uncultured bacterium
Lineage: Bacteria
Description: partial 16S ribosomal RNA
Rfam family: Bacterial small subunit ribosomal RNA
Source: RNAcentral